This 253-nucleotide ribosomal RNA is filed under the name uncultured bacterium. RNAcentral describes it as "partial 16S ribosomal RNA". It matches the Rfam family "Bacterial small subunit ribosomal RNA", at positions 524 to 776 of the family's 1533-position model. The record is from RNAcentral.
UACAGAGGUCCCAAGCGUUGUUCGGAUUCAUUGGGCGUAAAGGGUGCGUAGGCGGCGCGGUAAGUCGGGUGUGAAAUCUCGGGGCUUAACUCCGAAACUGCGUUCGAUACUGCCGUGCUUGAGGACUGGAGAGGAGACUGGAAUUUACGGUGUAGCGGUGAAAUGCGUAGAUAUCGUAAGGAAGACCAGUGGCGAAGGCGGGUCUCUGGACAGUUCCUGACGCUGAGGCACGAAGGCCAGGGGAGCAAACGGG